Molecule: long non-coding RNA, 494 nt
Filed under: Homo sapiens (human)
Lineage: Eukaryota; Metazoa; Chordata; Mammalia; Primates; Hominidae
Description: HSALNT0360644
Source: RNAcentral
GUCAGACACUGCGCAUGGUCAGUGGUGGCUGUGUCAACGGCUGCGCAGCUCAUGACGGCGCCGGGCUCUAACGGCCAGAACCUGUAGUUUGGGCGAGGGAAUAUUCUUUCCUUUACAGCCUGCCAUCUUCCACGUCAUCUGAAUCUCCUCUGACUAAGGCAGGGAAUGGGAGGGCUAACUAUGGAUAGUCAAGAUACAAAGUGUUGUUCGUGUCAAUAGUCUACUGACUCUUUAACCCUCUGUGUACUUCAUCGUUAUCUACUGAAAAAAAAAAAGUACUGAUGUCUUUAUCCUUGGAGAGGAGAGGUGUAAUCGAGAUGGAGAAGGUCUUUAUUUGAACAUCUGGUUUUCUGCUGCAAGCCUCCCUGUGGCUGGAUAGAAGCCACUUUGAAGCCUGGAAGCAAUGCCUGAGGUUCUCUAAUUACCUAUUUUCCCCUCAAAUAGAAAUAAAAUUGACUGUAAGAAAAUUUGGCAAUGAUUCAUUUUGUGGACUG